CUUUUAAUGACCAAUAACUAGCCCCGAUCUCUGACACAUAUCAUCAUAAUUUAUAUCCACCAGGAGUUAACAUGCCUGUGAUUCGACACGGUCAACCCUUCUCGCACGUGAUGCUUUGUAGGCUGUCGUCGGUCGCGUCAGAUUUUAAAUCGAGGGUAACGUCAAAUGUGCAAACGCAAUCAAGGCCCCGGUUAUGCCUUAUCAACGCCUUUCGUUAUGUCUGAUUGGACCUCGAAGAGGUGAGAAAUAACACACCCUUGAGAUCGGAGCGACUGAUGUGGAUUAGCAUGCUAAUGAGCGUUGUUUUUAUUUGAUCUUGCGGUACCUUUUCACUCUCUCUCCCCCCUUGAGAAGGACAAACCUCGAGCAAGGGAGGACAGGGGGGGGGGGGGAGUUGGCUGGGUGUGGAUGUGAUAACUGAAGGGAAGAACGGGAGAGGAAGGAGGGUUAAAAGUGGUAGCUGGUUGGCUGGGUUUUUGGGGGCUGAGUUGUAGAAGAUAUUCCUAAUUAGCAUGUGGGAGCAAAACGGUUCUGACAGCAGAGGUAACCCUGCCCUCAUUCAAAUGGUGGCUUAACAGUCCCCUGUUAAGUCACCAUUUUUUUACUCAGCUUCUUUUUGUCAGUCAAACCCCAACAGCUGUGGAUUUAGGGCUCCAUUCACCUUAAAAGAAAUCUAAAGAUAAUCCAUAGUUUGAUGUUGUAAAAGGGGGUGGUGGGGGGAUGGCUUCUGAGUCUUCUAAGGAAGGGAAAAGGGGGUCACCAGUGUUUAGGGGCAACGGGUUUAAGCUGUAAAACCCCUACACAAUAGGUUCUGAUGGAGGAGCGAACUCACCCCCCCUUCACCAACAGCCCUGACACAAGCAGAGAGUCUCUAGAAAGUUCUAAGCACCUUCUCCGAGCUUCACUGAACCCAUUGAAGAACAGAUAGAUAAAGAACACCAGUGUCUUUAAGUCUAAACUUCCAUUUCCUGGUGAAAACAAACUCUUUUGAUGUAUCCAAAUAGGGUAUGGAAGGGAGUUUAUUCAGCUGUUCUAAGACGGCGGUGGCAAUGUUUUUAUUUUGUCGUUUUUUAAAUGGGUUACUAGGCCUGAUGGGAGCCAAGCCAUCAAGGUUUUGACAACCUCGAUUGUGGGACUUUUCGAGGGAUUUUAGAAAGAAAUUGCAAAAUGAUAUUUAGGAAUAAUGGGUAGAAAAAUCUCGAUUCAGCUUAUUUCACCUCAUACUUUAGUUCAAAUAUAUGAAGUUGUUCUGCGCUGGAUGAGUGCAGCUUUGAGAAUUAUGCCGUACAAAAGGUAAGGUGGGGCGCAUCCGUCUUUGUUCAUCCAUAUCCAUUGUGAUUUCCUGCUUCUCAGAAAGGCAUUAACAGUGAAGCUGUUAAACGGUUUAGCAUCUUGCUACGUUUCAUUUGAGGCGUAAUCAUUUAAUCAACUUAUCGAGUUAUGUUAGUAAACAUAAACUCAACAUUUACACAUUUGACAAUUUCAAAUUGCUUAUUUAUCAGAAUGUUUUGUUCGUCCAAAGUUUUCAGUUGGCAAUUAUAACACACCCAUGCUAAUAAGGAGUGUUUUAUUUGAUGAGAUGUAAAUACAAAAUAAGCCUUGGUCAUCCAAAAACGAUUUUAAUUUCAAGGACAUACCUGCAGCCUACAGCCUUUCCACGUUAGCAGAUAAUACUACCACCAAAGACGGUGGUUGACCUUGUGAAGCUUAGACGAACUUAGCCCCUGAACUCCCAAGUCUUGCCUCUUUAAUCAUAGACACACAUGCACAUACACACACACAUACACACACACACAGACGCACACACACACUCACCGAUCACACUCACACGCAAACACACAGAGACCUUCUCUGACAGUUUCAGGCAACUGCAGUAUUGCUUUAUUGCACAUUUGCUUACCAUAAGAAUUUAAUUUUCAGCGAUAAAGUCCUGGAACUUGGCAGUGGAUUGUGUGUGUGUGUGUGUUUGUCUGUGAGUGUGUCUAUGUGUGUGUUGUUUGUGAGUGCAUGCACACAUUUGUUUGUGUGUUUGUGUGUGGAGGUGUAUGUGUGGGUGCAUACACAUGUGCACAUGUUGUGCACAUGUGUGUGUGGGGUUGUUCACGUUCACAUGUGUGCAUGAACUUGUGUUUGUGUAUGUGUGCAUGUACAUAUGUGUGUGUGUGUGUGUGUGUGUGUGUGUGUGUGUGUGUGUGUGUGUGUGUGUGUGUGUGUGUGUGUGUGUGUGUGUGUGUGUGUGUGUGUGUGUGUGUGUGUGUGUGUGUGU
Gadus macrocephalus (Pacific cod) is the source of this 2266-nucleotide long non-coding RNA. RefSeq lists it as uncharacterized. NCBI's taxonomy places the organism in Eukaryota, Metazoa, Chordata, Actinopteri, Gadiformes, Gadidae. The record is from RefSeq and is a predicted model, not a curated record. The transcript is spliced from 2 exons.